Long non-coding RNA from Fukomys damarensis (Damara mole-rat), 647 nucleotides. RefSeq lists it as uncharacterized. The record is from RefSeq and is a predicted model, not a curated record. Lineage: Eukaryota; Metazoa; Chordata; Mammalia; Rodentia; Bathyergidae. The transcript has 3 exons.
CGCGACCAAAGCUUUGCCUGGGCCCGGCCCCUGUCCCGCCCUCCACCCGGGCACCACCAAGGGCCAAACUUUCCCUUCUCCCUCCACCUGCCGACACGCGGCGCGCUGACGUCACCGCGCAGGUCGCGCCCCGCCUUGGGAACCGCCUCUGGCCGCCAUGUCAAGUGUGUCUAAGUAAACGCGAGCAGGCACAGAGCCCAGAAGGUGGAAAUUGAUGGUUGAAGGGAAGAAAAUCCUAGGUGCUGCCUUCCUUUCUCCUUUUGCAGGGAAGAGUGGAGGGGGCAUUGUGGCAGAGAAGAACUACAUCUGAUGCUAAGGAUUGGCAAUCUCAAGGUUACGAUUCCAUGAUUUAAAUGAACAAAGAUUUGGCAGCCGUUUUGAUACCAGAAGUUCAAACUAUGACCCCUUUCUCAGCCUGUGGAAAUUCUUCUGUGUGAAAACACUGUCAUAAAUGUCAUACAGUGGUGACCGAAGCAGUCUUGACUUCUUUUCAUGUUCUGCUAAAAGACAAGAAAGGUACAGUGUUAACAAAUUCUCCCCCCCCCCAGUACUGGGGAUUGAACCCAGGGCCUUUGCACCUCCAGCCUUAAAAAAAAAAAAAAUCUGGCUGAGUUCCUUAGGUUGAGCUCAAACUAAAUAUCAAUAUC